UUUCGUACCUCCUUGUUGCUGCCGCUGCUGCUUCACGGUCAGCUCCAUACGUGCCAAAGUUGCACGUCGUGCCGAACACGGGGAAGUGCCGCCUGCCCCUGUUAUGCCUCCACAACUAGAGAACUCACCUUCCAUCCAACCCUUUUUGUCCCGGUUGACUUUGGACCUGGGACUAAAGGCAUAAAAAUGAGCCACCGAGGGGGGAGCUUUAGUCCUUGUUGAAAGACCAAUCGGGAAUAAAACCCCCCUUUAGUCCCGGUUGUAAUGCCUAGUGGGACGAGGGGGCUCCAACCGAGACAAAACAUCCCUUUCUAGUUUCCACAUGGUCCACCUCUCUCACUCCACCUUAUCUUCUCCUCUGACCUCUCCCUUAUGUCUUCUCUCACGCCGCCCCCUCCCCUCCCUCUCUUCACUGCCCGCCACCCCCUCCCCCUCCCUCGCGUCGUCGCCGCCCCUUCCCCUCCC
This 465-nucleotide long non-coding RNA is filed under the name Setaria viridis. RNAcentral describes it as "long non-coding RNA (SVIR_LNC008854)". Lineage: Eukaryota; Viridiplantae; Streptophyta; Magnoliopsida; Poales; Poaceae. The record is from RNAcentral.